CGGCUUCCUACGGGAGGCAGCAGUGGGGAAUAUUGCGCAAUGGGGGAAACCCUGACGCAGCGACGCCGCGUGGAUGAUGAAGGCCUUCGGGUUGUAAAGUCCUGUUCUGGGGGACGAAACCUUAAGGGUCCAAUAGGCCCUUAAGCUGACGGUACCCCAAGAGAAAGCUCCGGCUAAUUAUGUGCCAGCAGCCGCGGUAAUACAUAAGGAACAAGCGUUAUCCGGAAUUAUUGGGCGUAAAGAGCUCGUAGGCGGUCUUAAAAGUCAGUUGUGAAAUUAUCAGGCUCAACCUGAUAAGGUCAUCUGAAACUCUAUGACUUGAAGUUAGAAGAGGAAAGUGGAAUUCCCGGUGUAGCGGUGAAAUGCAUAGAUAUCGGGAGGAACACCAGUGGCGAAGGCGGCUUUCUGGUCUAUCUCUGACGCUGAGGAGCGAAAGCUAGGGGAGCAAACGGGAUUAGAUACCCUAGUAGU
RNAcentral lists this ribosomal RNA (471 nucleotides) under uncultured bacterium. RNAcentral describes it as "bacterial SSU rRNA". It matches the Rfam family "Bacterial small subunit ribosomal RNA", at positions 332 to 794 of the family's 1533-position model. The record is from RNAcentral.